GGGGAUGAAAGGCUUUGACGAAGCAAUAACAAAAAAAACCGCAAGAGGAGUUGGAAAACUCCUAAAAAUUCCAAAAAUAAUAAGCGCCAACUUUAAUAGCGCUCCGGCUUUCGCUUACGCUUAAGCCGGCACUCUCCGGCUGACGCCUGGAGGCCGAAAAGAGUGUAAUAAAACAGGAUAAAAUCUGAAAUUUGCCUAAUUUCAGAUUUGAAUAAAAACAAGGCGAAGGAAUUGAGAUUUUUCGUCCCGAUUAUAUCUCUUUAUCCUAAUAAACAUCGGGGCUAAUCUUGUAGAAAUUUUUUUUGAAACUGUUUCGGACGCGGGU
Molecule: transfer-messenger RNA, 325 nt
Filed under: Candidatus Liptonbacteria bacterium
Lineage: Bacteria; Candidatus Liptoniibacteriota
Description: partial transfer-messenger RNA
Rfam family: transfer-messenger RNA
About the family: Bacterial tmRNA, also known as 10Sa RNA or SsrA, is named for its dual tRNA and mRNA-like properties.
Source: RNAcentral